RNAcentral lists this transfer RNA (88 nucleotides) under Atlantibacter sp. RC6. RNAcentral's name for it is "tRNA-Ser". The stretch from base 16 to 85 matches the Rfam family "tRNA". Rfam says of the family: Transfer RNA (tRNA) molecules are approximately 80 nucleotides in length. Lineage: Bacteria; Pseudomonadati; Pseudomonadota; Gammaproteobacteria; Enterobacterales; Enterobacteriaceae. The record is from RNAcentral.
GUGUAUAAAUUUUUUGGGGAUUUGACCGGUCUCGAAAACCGGAGUAGGGGCAACUCUACCGGGGGUUCAAAUCCCCCUCUCUCCGCCA